Molecule: ribosomal RNA, 253 nt
Filed under: uncultured bacterium
Lineage: Bacteria
Description: partial 16S ribosomal RNA
Rfam family: Bacterial small subunit ribosomal RNA
Source: RNAcentral
GACGAACCGUGCGAACGUUGUUCGGAAUCAUUGGGCGUAAAGAGCGUGUAGGCGGCCCGAUAAGUCCGCCGUGAAAGUCCAGGGCUCAACCCUGGAAUGCCGGUGGAAACUGUCGGGCUGGAGUCCGGAAGAGGCGAGUGGAAUUCCUGGUGUAGCGGUGAAAUGCGCAGAUAUCAGGAGGAACACCAAUGGCGAAGGCAGCUCGCUGGGACGGUACUGACGCUGAGACGCGAAAGCGUGGGGAGCAAACAGG